Non-coding RNA from Drosophila melanogaster (fruit fly), 1648 nucleotides. The record is from Ensembl. Lineage: Eukaryota; Metazoa; Arthropoda; Insecta; Diptera; Drosophilidae.
AAAUGCAGCACAAUUGUUUAAAUAGCGCAAUCGAAAAUAUUGCAAAAGCUGAUCACUUCGGUAAUUGUACUAACUUGUGAGUUAAUUUUUCUUUAGUGCUCACACACGGACACACCAUAAGUGUUUGUGACAUUGCCAAAUUGUCACACAUUGAGUUAUUUUUGUUUGUUUAGCGCACAACAGGAAAAACACGCCUGCGUUGCGAAAAAAUAAAUAAAAAUAAAAAAUACAAUUUGCAUUUUAUUCAAUUUGUGGUACAUCCGCCUGAGCCUUCGUCACUCGAUCGCCACACUCAUUGUUCUGGUUAUUUACGAGUUUGUUAAGUGCGCAACCCGCUCCUUUCCCUUUUUUUUUUCUUCUUUUUUUUUUCUGCCCAUCGCCAAGCACAUCCUGUGACCCCAUUGGAACCCAAUGAAGCAGCAACCCAUGACCGGACAUGGCCGGCAAUUUUUGUUCGCCAGCAGAUAUGGAGUUCGAUCCCUAGAAGGAUAUGAGUAGCGGAAUAUCCUAUGAAAUCAGAUAACUAUAAGAAAGGAUUACAUCCAAUAAGCAGAGAGACUAAUCUAAAUGUUUAUAAUAAAUUUACAGAUCAGUUAAUAGUGCACCCAAACAAAGCUCUUAAGGACUUCCUCCUUUCACCUACCCAAAAAAGUAUUAUUUUUUUAUUUCUGAAGCCCGCCUGAUUUUCCCAUUCUGUUGACGGGGCUUUUUGUAAUUAUUUCAUUAAGAUUUGCUGCCAGACGAAUUUAAUUGGAUUUACAAAAUGCGUCGAAUGCGACCGGGGAAGGAUUCUCGUAUUCCGUAUGGAUCUGCUUGGUGUUCCGUUGAUAGCUUUUAGUUGGCGUGUCCUGAUCGACCUUGUUGCAUGCCAAUAUUAAUAACAACAAUGGCAAUAAAGCCCAUUACAGCCGGCACACAUUCGGGCCAUUAAUGAAAUACAUUGAUUUCUGUGUCCCCGUCGAAUUUAUGGCAACAGCAAGAAGUUAAGGGUAAUGUGCAAGGGUUUAAUUCCACUCCCAUCAAAUUCGCGGCGGCAUAUUCGGUGACAUGUUCAUGUCCUGCUAUUCCUGUUCGCCCCCACUUCGACAUGCCCACGUCUCAGUCACAGUUCCAUACUCAGUUUAAGUCCCAACCUUGCGUGUUGUCACGUUAUAAAAACCGAAACGAUCCCCUCAGCCCCCCCGUCUCCAGGACAUUUGUUGGUUCCGCUCGUUACCAGAAGCGCCAACUCAGCACGAAAUGACUGUGACUCCGGUUGUGAUGAGGACAACGUCAACGGUUUUGCACCGAAAAAAAUAGAAAAAACAAAUAUCACUUUUUCUAAUCAGUAUCUAAUUGCCAAUAUUGUAGAUUCGGUAGAAUAAUUGUUGUACAUUAUAAAAUGUUUUUAAUCGGAGCACGAGCUUCAAUCAUUUCAAUACGAGGAUCAUCUUUUGUUCGACAUUCAAUGCCUCGCGAAGUAAAUAACCUUUCUGACUUUAAGUUCACUCUAAACUUCUGAGUAGUGUGAACUUAAACUAAAUGUGGGAGUUUCGAAAGUUUCGUUCAACUUUUUGCGGUUGUAGAAUAAAAUUAAUAUAAGCAUUUGUGUGCUAGUUUUCACAAACAGUUUUCUAUCGCAUACUUAAUACUUAGGCGGUUGGUGUGC